RNAcentral lists this ribosomal RNA (207 nucleotides) under uncultured bacterium. RNAcentral's name for it is "partial 16S ribosomal RNA". It matches the Rfam family "Bacterial small subunit ribosomal RNA", at positions 568 to 774 of the family's 1533-position model. The record is from RNAcentral.
UGUGUAGGUGGCGCGCUAAGUCGGGUGUGAAAUUUCGGAGCUUAACUCCGAAACUGCAUUCGAUACUGGCGUGCUUGAGGACUGGAGAGGAGACUGGAAUUUACGGUGUAGCAGUGAAAUGCGUAGAUAUCGUAAGGAAGACCAGUGGCGAAGGCGGGUCUCUGGACAGUUCCUGACGCUGAGGCACGAAGGUCAGGGGAGCAAACG